RNAcentral lists this ribosomal RNA (692 nucleotides) under uncultured Staphylococcus sp. Its description in RNAcentral is "bacterial SSU rRNA". It matches the Rfam family "Bacterial small subunit ribosomal RNA", at positions 62 to 736 of the family's 1533-position model. Lineage: Bacteria; Bacillati; Bacillota; Bacilli; Caryophanales; Staphylococcaceae. The record is from RNAcentral.
UCGAGCGAACGGACGAGAAGCUUGCUUCUCUGAUGUUAGCGGCGGACGGGUGAGUAACACGUGGAUAACCUACCUAUAAGACUGGGAUAACUUCGGGAAACCGGAGCUAAUACCGGAUAAUAUUUUGAACCGCAUGGUUCAAAAGUGAAAGACGGUCUUGCUGUCACUUAUAGAUGGAUCCGCGCUGCAUUAGCUAGUUGGUAAGGUAACGGCUUACCAAGGCAACGAUGCAUAGCCGACCUGAGAGGGUGAUCGGCCACACUGGAACUGAGACACGGUCCAGACUCCUACGGGAGGCAGCAGUAGGGAAUCUUCCGCAUUGGGCGAAAGCCUGACGGAGCUACGCCGCGUGAGUGAUGAAGGUCUUCGGAUCGUCAAACUCUGUUAUUAGGGAAGAACAUAUGUGUAAGUAACUGUGCACAUCUUGACGGUACCUAAUCAGAAAGCCACGGCUAACUACGUGCCAGCAGCCGCGCUAAUACGUAGGUGGCAAGCGUUAUCCGGAAUUAUUGGGCGUAAAGCGCGCGUAGGCGGUUUUUUAAGUCUGAUGUGAAAGCCCACGGCUCAACCGUGGAGGGUCAUUGGAAACUGGAAAACUUGAGUGCAGAAGAGGAAAGUGGAAUUCCAUGUGUAGCGGUGAAAUGCGCAGAGAUAUGGAGGAACACCAGUGGCGAAGGCGACUUUCUGGUCUG